UACGAAGGGGGCUAGCGUUGCUCGGAAUUACUGGGCGUAAAGGGCGCGUAGGCGGAUGUUUAAGUCGGGGGUGAAAGCCCGGGGCUCAACCCCGGAAUUGCCUUCGAUACUGGACAUCUUGAGUACGGGAGAGGUGAGUGGAACUCCGAGUGUAGAGGUGAAAUUCGUAGAUAUUCGGAAGAACACCAGUGGCGAAGGCGACUCACUGGCCCGUUACUGACGCUGAGGCGCGAAAGCGUGGGGAGCAAACAGGG
This 254-nucleotide ribosomal RNA is filed under the name uncultured bacterium. Its description in RNAcentral is "partial 16S ribosomal RNA". It matches the Rfam family "Bacterial small subunit ribosomal RNA", at positions 524 to 777 of the family's 1533-position model. The record is from RNAcentral.